UGAAGUUUGGAUAGAUCUUAAGUACUCAAUACUCAGAUGAAUCUGUGAUCUGAUUUAUUCAAAAGCUGCUUCCAGGGAUGUUAGAUCACAACCCAUUUGUGUGUCCACAUAAAUUCCUUUUUUUUUUUUAAAUUUCAUUCUUAGGGAUUUGUGAAAAAAGCAAUUUGAAAUCUGAUUCAGACUCUGAGGAAAUUAAGAAGCUGAAAUACAGAUCCCCACUGGUUACAUACAAUCUAAAUAUAAGUGGUGGAGAAUCUGCAGAAGAAACAAAAGAAAGCAACCACAGAAAGAGGAGGAAAGUGAGCAUGGAUGAUUCAGGACUGAAAGUUACUGAAAACAUUACUGAACAUGAAGAUGAUGAACAGUCAAAGACAAGGUAUUUUAAUAAUUUUUAGGUUCCUUUACCCAUAUUUUUUCAGUUAGGUGUUAAGA
This 432-nucleotide long non-coding RNA is filed under the name Phascolarctos cinereus (koala). Its description in RNAcentral is "lncRNA (ENSPCIG00000033857.1)". The record is from RNAcentral. Lineage: Eukaryota; Metazoa; Chordata; Mammalia; Diprotodontia; Phascolarctidae.